GCCAGGUGUGGUGGCGGGCACCUGUAGUCCCAGCUACUCGGGAGGCUGAGACAGGAGAAUUGCUUGAACCCAGGAGGUGGAGGUUGCAGUGAGCCAAGAUCCCGCCAUUACACUCCAGCCUGGGUAACAGAGCAAGACUCUGUCUCAA
RNAcentral lists this non-coding RNA (148 nucleotides) under Pan paniscus (pygmy chimpanzee). RNAcentral also lists the same sequence under 1 other name. The record is from Rfam by way of RNAcentral. Lineage: Eukaryota; Metazoa; Chordata; Mammalia; Primates; Hominidae.